This 330-nucleotide ribosomal RNA is filed under the name uncultured bacterium. Its description in RNAcentral is "bacterial SSU rRNA". It matches the Rfam family "Bacterial small subunit ribosomal RNA", at positions 568 to 898 of the family's 1533-position model. The record is from RNAcentral.
UGUGUAGGCGGUUGUUUAAGUUUGGUGUGAAAUCUCCCGGCUCAACCGGGAGGGUGCGCCGAAUACUGAGCGACUAGAGUGCGGGAGAGGAGAGUGGAAUUCCUGGUGUAGCGGUGAAAUGCGUAGAUAUCAGGAGGAACACCGGUGAUGCAGACGGCUCUCUGGACCGCGACUGACGCUGAGACACGAAAGCGUGGGUAGCAAACAGGAUUAGAUACCCUGGUAGUCCACGCCCUAAACGAUGCAUAUUUGGUGUGGGUCAUUCAGUUGAUCCGUGCCGGAGCUAACGCGUUAAAUAUGCCGCCUGGGGAGUACAGUCGCAAGGCUGAA